This is a long non-coding RNA of Sorghum bicolor (sorghum), 1084 nucleotides long. RefSeq lists it as uncharacterized. The transcript is spliced from 2 exons. The record is from RefSeq and is a predicted model, not a curated record. NCBI's taxonomy places the organism in Eukaryota, Viridiplantae, Streptophyta, Magnoliopsida, Poales, Poaceae.
UAAUUCAGAGGAAAAAAAAUGAAUCAACUAAGGUUUUGUUUGAUGUAGUCAGCACAUCAAUCCAUAUGUGUUGAGGUAGAUUAGAGUGAAACUUGAACUAAAUUCUACCACAACCUACACCAACACAUAAAUUAAAGUAAAUCUAACUACAUCCAAAGAUGCCAUUACCCAUAUGCCAUAGCGUUGCUCGAUCGUAUCGAUCGGCCGUUGCAUGCAAGUGGAUGAAAUGCAACGGCAACUCGGCAAGCAUGGAACCAGGUCAACAAAGCGCAUCAGCGAUCGAUCAGCCAACAGCCAUAUGCAUGCCCGUGUUCGUUUUGCCCGGGUCAGCAACCGCCCGGCGGCCGCGCGCACCGAGCCGGCCGGCGAGGAUGAAAACGCCACCGCAUCGAAAGCCUGACCGAUCACCGCAUCAUCCAUGCGCGCCCGUUGCGAUCCUCUUCAGGCUAUAAAUACGACGGCAGGGGCACGAUCGACGCAAAGGCAGCCCAUGCCGCCGCCGGCAAGGCGAGCGAAUAGCUCCAUCGAGGAGCAGUCGAUCUGCUCCUCUACUCAGCAACGAGCCGGCGGGGGCCCGACGAACGGCCGGCCGCCAAUGCUUAUUCGGAUUGGCCGAGAGCACCCGGUCGGAUUGGCCGAGAGCACCCGGCCCACCUCCUUCUUUGUUUCUCCGAUCCAGAAAAGAUUGAGAACCACAGAGAAGAAGAUGGCUAGAGAAGACAACAAGAAAACUCUGAGAGGAAGCCAAGUGAUUUAUAAAGAAAGGAAGAGAACUUGAAAAGGCAGAUAGAAAUGGUCGUCCAUAUAAGGCCAGUCUCAAUGGUGAGCACCUCUCAAUUUCCAACACAUGAAACAUUGACAUGAAAUGAGGUUCUCUCACGGUGCAAAGUUUCAUUGCACGAUUUCAUAGCUUAUUUUACUAUUUUUUCUCUCAUCCCUAUCUUUUCCUCUCCCUAUCUUUUCUCUCAUCCAUCUCUUCUGAUGAAAUGUCAGAGCUCCUCAAUGCGGGUUUGAUUCUCGUUUCGUGGUGUUGGAAACACCGCCCCACUCGUUUCGUGACAAUGAAACAAAUUCCUUCUCUCUC